GCCUUCGUGGUGUAGUGGCUCGGCACGCUCGACGAGUAACCGAGAGGUCCGUGGUUCGAUUCCCGGCGAAGGCG
This 74-nucleotide transfer RNA is filed under the name Stegodyphus mimosarum. It matches the Rfam family "tRNA". From Rfam's summary of the family: Transfer RNA (tRNA) molecules are approximately 80 nucleotides in length. Their secondary structure includes four short double-helical elements and three loops (D, anti-codon, and T loops). The record is from Rfam by way of RNAcentral. Lineage: Eukaryota; Metazoa; Arthropoda; Arachnida; Araneae; Eresidae.